Molecule: ribosomal RNA, 117 nt
Filed under: Propionibacterium sp.
Lineage: Bacteria; Bacillati; Actinomycetota; Actinomycetes; Propionibacteriales; Propionibacteriaceae
Source: RNAcentral
UGCGGCGGUCAUGGCGUGGGGGAAACGCCCGGAACCAUUCCGAACCCGGAAGCUAAGCCCCACAGCGCCGAUGGUACUGCACCUGGGAGGGUGUGGGAGAGUAGGACACCACCGCAA